RNAcentral lists this ribosomal RNA (900 nucleotides) under Levilactobacillus brevis. RNAcentral's name for it is "bacterial SSU rRNA". It matches the Rfam family "Bacterial small subunit ribosomal RNA", at positions 59 to 944 of the family's 1533-position model. Lineage: Bacteria; Bacillati; Bacillota; Bacilli; Lactobacillales; Lactobacillaceae. The record is from RNAcentral.
AUGACGUGCUUGCACUGAUUUCAACAAUGAAGCGAGUGGCGAACUGGUGAGUAACACGUGGGAAAUCUGCCCAGAAGCAGGGGAUAACACUUGGAAACAGGUGCUAAUACCGUAUAACAACAAAAUCCGCAUGGAUUUUGUUUGAAAGGUGGCUUCGGCUAUCACUUCUGGAUGAUCCCGCGGCGUAUUAGUUAGUUGGUGAGGUAAAGGCCCACCAAGACGAUGAUACGUAGCCGACCUGAGAGGGUAAUCGGCCACAUUGGGACUGAGACACGGCCCAAACUCCUACGGGAGGCAGCAGUAGGGAAUCUUCCACAAUGGACGAAAGUCUGAUGGAGCAAUGCCGCGUGAGUGAAGAAGGGUUUCGGCUCGUAAAACUCUGUUGUUAAAGAAGAACACCUUUGAGAGUAACUGUUCAAGGGUUGACGGUAUUUAACCAGAAAGCCACGGCUAACUACGUGCCAGCAGCCGCGGUAAUACGUAGGUGGCAAGCGUUGUCCGGAUUUAUUGGGCGUAAAGCGAGCGCAGGCGGUUUUUUAAGUCUGAUGUGAAAGCCUUCGGCUUAACCGGAGAAGUGCAUCGGAAACUGGGAGACUUGAGUGCAGAAGAGGACAGUGGAACUCCAUGUGUAGCGGUGGAAUGCGUAGAUAUAUGGAAGAACACCAGUGGCGAAGGCGGCUGUCUAGUCUGUAACUGACGCUGAAGCUCGAAAGCAUGGGUAGCGAACAGGAUUAGAUACCCUGGUAGUCCAUGCCGUAAACGAUGAGUGCUAAGUGUUGGAGGGUUUCCGCCCUUCAGUGCUGCAGCUAACGCAUUAAGCACUCCGCCUGGGGAGUACGACCGCAAGGUUGAAACUCAAAGGAAUUGACGGGGGCCCGCACAAGCGGUGGAGCUAUGUGG